Triticum aestivum (bread wheat) is the source of this 513-nucleotide long non-coding RNA. RefSeq lists it as uncharacterized. The transcript is spliced from 3 exons. Lineage: Eukaryota; Viridiplantae; Streptophyta; Magnoliopsida; Poales; Poaceae. The record is from RefSeq and is a predicted model, not a curated record.
UUGUAUUCUUGACAGUUUUAGUCAUCUCUGCUGCAGCUAAGUGUUCAGUUGCAAUCUCUAGCCAAGUUCCCUUUGUUGUUGUGUUGAAUUUGAGGAAAGGCGGCCAAGCAGCUCGUGGCAGCUGUGUCGCGCCUGCUUCACCGCUGCCUUGACUUGCCGACGACGUCGCCGGUUGAGCCGCAGGGGUGCAAGAUCGUCGUGGGACCCAUUGCCAUGGGCGCCGAGUAUGCUUGAUUGCCAUGUCGGAGGCAAAGCUCCUAGAGCUUGGUGUGUGACAAGUCGUGUGAGAUGAAGGUGGUGAACCGUCUCAAUGUUAAGCCAAGUAUGUGGAGGAUAUGCCAUGGAUGAUGUGGACAGAGAUGAUGCAAAAAUUGCUUGCCGAUAGGCAGCUGGGCGCAUGCAUAAUUGUCGAGGAGGCCGAAGCCAACGCUAUUCUGGUUUGACUGAAUAACGUAUUCUGAGGCUCCCUUGUGGUGGAGAUCGACUAUGCAGAGGGGAAAGGAGCGAGGGGAA